GAUGAAGAACGCAGUGAAAUGCGAUAAGUAGUGUGAAUUGCAGAAUUCAGUGAAUCAUCGAAUCUUUGAACGCACAUUGCGCCCUUUGGUAUUCCUUAGGGCAUGCCUGUUCGAGCGUCAUUUGAACCCUCAAGCUCAGCUUGGUGUUGGGUGUCUGUCCCCGCCUCCGCGGGGACUCGCCUCAAAAUCAUUGGCGGCCGGUACGUUGGCUUCGAGCGCGGCAGAAACGCGAACUCGAGGCCCGGCGGAUCGGCGACCAGAAGUCUCUUCUUCACAGUUUGACCUCGGAUCAGGUAGGGAUACCCGCUGAACUUAAGCAUAUCAAUAAGCGGAGGA
This 336-nucleotide unclassified non-coding RNA is filed under the name soil metagenome. RNAcentral describes it as "partial contains 5.8S ribosomal RNA, internal transcribed spacer 2, and large subunit ribosomal RNA". The stretch from base 1 to 120 matches the Rfam family "5.8S ribosomal RNA", at positions 35 to 154 of the family's 154-position model. The record is from RNAcentral.